This 73-nucleotide transfer RNA is filed under the name Stegodyphus mimosarum. It matches the Rfam family "tRNA". From Rfam's summary of the family: Transfer RNA (tRNA) molecules are approximately 80 nucleotides in length. Their secondary structure includes four short double-helical elements and three loops (D, anti-codon, and T loops). Lineage: Eukaryota; Metazoa; Arthropoda; Arachnida; Araneae; Eresidae. The record is from Rfam by way of RNAcentral.
CUCUUCGUGGUGUAGUGGUCAGCACGCUCGACGCGUAACCGAGAGGUCCGUGGUUCGAUUCCCGGCGAAGGCG